RNAcentral lists this ribosomal RNA (806 nucleotides) under uncultured organism. RNAcentral's name for it is "SSU rRNA". It matches the Rfam family "Bacterial small subunit ribosomal RNA", at positions 28 to 804 of the family's 1533-position model. The record is from RNAcentral.
GACGAACGCUGGCGGCGUGCUUAACACAUGCAAGUCGAACGAAGAGCGAUGGAAGCUUGCCUCUAUCAAUCUUAGUGGCGAACGGGUGAGUAACGCGUAAUCAACCUGCCCUUCAGAGGGGGACAACAGUUGGAAACGACUGCUAAUACCGCAUACGAUCUAACCUCGGCAUCGAGGAUAGAUGAAAGGUGGCCUCUAUUUAUAAGCUAUCACUGAAGGAGGGGAUUGCGUCUGAUUAGCUAGUUGGAGGGGUAACGGCCCACCAAGGCGAUGAUCAGUAGCCGGUCUGAGAGGAUGAACGGCCACAUUGGGACUGAGACACGGCCCAGACUCCUACGGGAGGCAGCAGUGGGGAAUCUUCCGCAAUGGACGAAAGUCUGACGGAGCAACGCCGCGUGAGUGAUGACGGCCUUCGGGUUGUAAAGCUCUGUUAAUCGGGACGAAAGGCCUUCUUGCGAAUAGUUAGAAGGAUUGACGGUACCGGAAUAGAAAGCCACGGCUAACUACGUGCCAGCAGCCGCGGUAAUACGUAGGUGGCAAGCGUUGUCCGGAAUUAUUGGGCGUAAAGCGCGCGCAGGCGGAUUGGUCAGUCUGUCUUAAAAGUUCGGGGCUUAACCCCGUGAUGGGAUGGAAACUGCCAAUCUAGAGUAUCGGAGAGGAAAGUGGAAUUCCUAGUGUAGCGGUGAAAUGCGUAGAUAUUAGGAAGAACACCAGUGGCGAAGGCGACUUUCUGGACGAAAACUGACGCUGAGGCGCGAAAGCCAGGGGAGCGAACGGGAUUAGAUACCCCGGUAGUCCUGGCCGUA